AUGAACGCUGGCGGCGUGCCUAAUCCCUGCAAGUCGCGCGCACGGACGAGAACCUUGCUUCUCUGAUGUUAGCGGCGGACGGGUGAGUAACACGUGGAUAACCUACCUAUAAGACUGGGAUAACUUCGGGAAACCGGAGCUAAUACCGGAUAAUAUUUUGAACCGCAUGGUUCAAAAGUGAAAGACGGUCUUGCUGUCACUUAUAGAUGGAUCCGCGCUGCAUUAGCUAGUUGGUAAGGUAACGGCUUACCAAGGCAACGAUGCAUAGCCGACCUGAGAGGGUGAUCGGCCACACUGGAACUGAGACACGGUCCAGACUCCUACGGGAGGCAGCAGUAGGGAAUCUUCCGCAAUGGGCGAAAGCCUGACGGAGCAACGCCGCGUGAGUGAUGAAGGUCUUCGGAUCGUAAAACUCUGUUAUUAGGGAAGAACAUAUGUGUAAGUAACUGUGCACAUCUUGACGGUACCUAAUCAGAAAGCCACGGCUAACUACGUG
This 496-nucleotide ribosomal RNA is filed under the name uncultured bacterium. Its description in RNAcentral is "partial 16S ribosomal RNA". It matches the Rfam family "Bacterial small subunit ribosomal RNA", at positions 29 to 507 of the family's 1533-position model. The record is from RNAcentral.